UAGAGGAAAAUAAUUUUAAAAUAAUAUUUUUUUUGUAAAUUUUUAAUAAAUCAACUAAAGCCUUUAUAUAUAAAUCUUGAAAGAGAAAUACAAACUUUUUUUUUUUAAUGUGGGACAAAGGCUAUAGGUAGGACUUGAAAGAUAUAUCAAGUAUUUUUUUUAUUGAUUGAAUUUUUUAUUUUUUUACUAAUUUUAUCGAGAGUUCUUUAAAAUUAAUUUUUUAUUUAUUUUAAAUAUUUAAAUAUUAUUUUUAAAGCAUUUAUUUUCAAUAAUAUUUUUUAACAAAGAUUUAACCUCCAAAUUGGAUAAAAUCUUCUUAAAUUGUGAAAACAUCAUCUAAUCUACUGCUACUUUUUAUUAUUAUUAUUAUUAUUAUUAUUAAUGUGGGGUUAUCCGGAUCACGCGUCUCAGCUAAUUCUCACGGUCCUAAAAUCAACGACUAGACUCAGUUUCUUUCUCUCCACACCCCCUCUCUCCACCUUCUCUCCCACAGACAACAACCUCAUUUCUUGUGGCUCCUCCAUUGACAACCGUCGUUUUAUCUCUGAUUCCCAUCCAAAUUCGCCACUUCUCUCCUCAACGGAAACGACUCCGCUCACCAACGAGAACCCGUCUUCCAAUUAUCCCCAAAUCUACAACACUGCAAGAAUUUUCAAAACACCUUCAAAAUAUGCUUUUGAGGUCAAGGAACCGGGGACUCUUAUGGUAAGCCUUCAUUUUUACCCCUCUUUCUCUUCCAUUCCGGACUUAGAUGAUGCUCAAUUUCACGUUUUGGUUAAUGGACAUGUUGAUCUAGGCAAUUUUAGUGUAGGCAAAGUUAGGGACUUUGCAGCUAAGGAGUAUUUUAUACGGGUUGAUUCUGUCAAGGUUGUGAUCAAUUUUGUUCCUACAAAGAAGGGUAAUUUUGGGCUUUUCAAUGCAAGUGAAGUGAUAUCUGCACCUAAAAGAUUUGAUUGCUCGUGGGAUUUCCUGUUAAUGGUUGUGAUGAUUUAGCCAUUCUUGGUUGGAUCUCGAAUCUAUUCAAAAGUUGAUCCAUGGAGUACAGCAUGGAAGGAUCCGACCCGAACCUGGUCAACCAUAGUAAUUAGGUAUGAUAUGUUUGUAUGAACAAGUCAUUAACACUCACAGGUUAUUUCAGAAAUUUGGAGAAGAGUAGCAGACCCCAAUACAAAUUUCUGGUAAACAACAGCACUAGAAACGAAGAAACAAUCAAGAACAUUUAUGACUGGUGAGGAGAGGAUUUUUCAGCAGAGAAAAGCGUGACAGACCAGUGACCAACACUAACCAGAGGCAAAGCUCACCAUUCUGAUUCUAAAGGCAUCAGCAUACACAAGAGAAUUGGGAUAGCUGUCAACCUAACUACUGGAUGCUGACGAAAGUGCAUGCGCACUCUUGUUAGCUAUCCUCUGGGCAGCUAGAAGAGACAUUUGUGUGAACCUCACCAAAGUAAACCCUUAUUUUAUUGACGGUUUCAACCAAUAAGUCAAACGUAAUAUUCAAUUUAA
This is a long non-coding RNA of Populus nigra (black poplar), 1505 nucleotides long. RefSeq lists it as uncharacterized. Lineage: Eukaryota; Viridiplantae; Streptophyta; Magnoliopsida; Malpighiales; Salicaceae. The transcript is spliced from 2 exons. The record is from RefSeq and is a predicted model, not a curated record.